This 73-nucleotide transfer RNA is filed under the name Tremella mesenterica DSM 1558. RNAcentral's name for it is "tRNA-Arg (ACG) (tRNA-Arg-ACG-1-1)". It matches the Rfam family "tRNA". From Rfam's summary of the family: Transfer RNA (tRNA) molecules are approximately 80 nucleotides in length. Their secondary structure includes four short double-helical elements and three loops (D, anti-codon, and T loops). The record is from RNAcentral. Lineage: Eukaryota; Fungi; Basidiomycota; Tremellomycetes; Tremellales; Tremellaceae.
GUCCCCGUGGUCUAGCGGCUAGGAUAUCUGACUACGAAUCAGGGGAUCACGGUUUCGAAUACCGUCGGGGAUU